Molecule: unclassified non-coding RNA, 305 nt
Filed under: Hevea brasiliensis (rubber tree)
Lineage: Eukaryota; Viridiplantae; Streptophyta; Magnoliopsida; Malpighiales; Euphorbiaceae
Source: RNAcentral
UUUGGAGAUUACUCAAAGAGAUUGUAUUAAACCAGGACUAAAUAAUUUUAUAUUACAUGAUGGCAUAAUACAAUCUCUUUGAGUAAUCUCCAAAAGUUCCACAAGCAUAUUUACCAAUAGAAUUCCAAAUUUUCCAAAUUGCAGAGCAUUAUAGCAUACAGCUUACAUGGCAGAAUUUUUACAAGUACAAUUGAUAAUACAAGCAACUAAGAGGUUCCUCUAACUUCAUAUUGGUGGGAAAUUCUGAGAGGAGAUUGCCUUGAUACAGGCCUGUCUUCGGACCACAGCUCUAGAUUAACUGUUCC